Gopherus flavomarginatus (Mexican gopher tortoise) is the source of this 3671-nucleotide RNA transcript. It is a transcript of the gene named zinc finger protein 345-like, with no coding region annotated. The transcript is spliced from 6 exons. NCBI's taxonomy places the organism in Eukaryota, Metazoa, Chordata, Testudines, Testudinidae. The record is from RefSeq and is a predicted model, not a curated record.
GUUCCGGGAGCCAGCCGGGGGUUGAGCCGCUGCUGACCUGGGGGAGAGACCUGGAUCCAAGCCCCCUCCACGCCCAGCCCUGGUGGGGGGCACUUUCUCCGGGGGCUGGAACCGGCCCCGGGCUCUGCCCGCACCAGCUGCUGAGCCGGAGCCUGCAGGAGCUGGUGGCUUUCCAUGAGGAGUCUGCGCCUCUCUGCAGGGUGCAGCGGGCUGGCGGAGAGCCCUCCGCAGGGACGCCAUGCAGGAGAAUUAUGAGACGCUGAUAUCUCUGGCAGAAGAGAUGGCCAUCAGCAUGCCGCGGAUCACCGCGAUGGCCGAAUCCCACCGCAGGGAGCUGGUGUCGGCGGGAUUUCCGAUUUCUAAGCCUGACCUGCUCUCCUGGAUGGAACAAGGGGAAGAACCGUGGGUCCCAGAUCUCCAGGCCUCUGAGGACAGAGAGAUCCCAAGAAGCAGCAGCCCAGGCGAAGGGUCAGCGAGUGAAGAGGAGGAGGAGGAGGAGGAGGAAGAGGAAGAGGAAGAGGAAGAAGAGGAAGAGGAGGAGCAGCCACCGGGAUCUCCUGGGAAAACAGAGCUGCAGGAGACAUCACCAGACAAAGAGGAGGUGGAGAAUCCCAGCGCAGGGCCGGAUGGGAAACUGCAGAGCUCGGAAGGGAAGAAUGAAGACAAACCUGCAGGCCAGACAGAAGCCCUCAAGCAGCCGCCGGCGCCUGCAGGGGUGGACAAGGCGUUCCGCUGUGCCGAAUGUGGGAAGACCUUCAGCCAGCGCUCCAACCUGAUCCGGCACCAGCGCCUCCACACCACCGACAAGCCCCACAAGUGCCCCGAAUGCGAGAAGAGCUUCGGCGAGUCGGCGGCGCUGGCCCGGCACCAGAAGUCCCACGCAGCCGGAAAGCCCUUCCAGUGCGGGGACUGCGGGAAGGGCUUCAACUGGAGCUCCCACCUGGAGCGGCACCGGCGCAUCCACACUGGCGAGCGGCCCUAUGAGUGCGGAGACUGCGGGAAAGGCUUCAGCGUCAGCUCCCACCUGGAGCGGCACCGGCGCGUCCACACCGGCGAGCGGCCCUACAAAUGCGACGAGUGCGGCAAAGCCUUUGCUGUCAGCUCCACCCUGGCCCAGCACCAGCGGGUCCACGCUGCUGACAAGCCCCACCGGUGCCAAGACUGCGGCAAAGCGUUCGGGCUGGGCGCCGCCCUCCUGGCCCACCAGCGGAAGCACCGGGGGGAAAAGCCUUUCCAGUGCCCCGAGUGCGGCAAAGCCUUCGGCUUCACCUCCCACCUGGAGCGGCACCGGCGCGUCCACACUGGAGAGCGGCCCUUCCAGUGCGAUGACUGCGGGAAGAGCUUCAGCCGCAGCUCCCACCUCUACCGGCACCGGCGGGUCCACACCGGGGAGAAGCCACGGAAAUGCGCCGACUGCGGGAAGAGCUACCACCUCAGCGCCGCCACCGUAGCCCAGCUCCAGGCCGCACCUGCUGGCAGCGCAAGGGAUCCCACCAAGUGUGCCGACUGCGGCCGCCGGCGCGUGCCACCACCAGCCGCCAUACCGGAGCCUGCCCCGGCGCCUUUGGGCUGUGCGGAUAAGCCCCACAAGUGCCCCGAGUGCGGGAAGGGCUUCGGACAGAGCUCCUCGCUCGUGAAGCACCAGCGGAUUCACACCGGCGAGCGGCCCUUCCAGUGCGGCGAGUGCGGCAAAUGCUUCGGCUGGUGCUCGGCCCUCAUCAAGCACCGACGCAUCCACACCGGGGAGCGGCCGUACCGCUGCGACGACUGCGGGAAGGCCUUCAGCGUCAGCUCCCACCUGGACCGGCACCAGCGCGUCCACGCCGGCGACAAGCCGCACCGCUGCCCUGAGUGCGGGAAGGGCUACGGCGAGCCGGCGGCGCUGGCCAAGCACCAGAAAUCCCACGCCGCCGGGAAGCCCUUCCAGUGCGGGGACUGCGGGAAGGGCUUUGCUUGGAGCUCCCACCUGGAGCGGCACCGGCGCAUCCACACCGGCGAGCGGCCCUACGAGUGCGGAGACUGCGGGAAAGGCUUCAGCGUCAGCUCCCACCUGGAGCGGCACCGGCGCGUCCACACCGGUGAGCGGCCCUACAAAUGCGACGAGUGCGGCAAAGCCUUUGCCGUCAGCUCCACCCUGGCCCAGCACCAGCGGGUCCACUCCAGCGGCCGGCCCCACCGCUGCAAGGACUGUGGGAAGCGGUUCGCAGCAGGGGCCCAGCUGCUGGCCCACCAGCGGGCCCACCGGGGCGAAAAGCCCUACCCCUGCAGCGUCUGCGGCAAGAGCUUUGGCUUCAUCUCCCACUUGGAGCGGCACCGGCGCGUCCACACGGGCGAGAAGCCGUACAAGUGCCCUGACUGUGGCAAGGCCUUCAGCCGCAGCUCCCACCGCAACCGCCACCAGAGAGCCCACGCCGCCACUGCCACCCAACACCGGCCCUUUAAGGGAGGGGGCGGGGCUGAGGUGGAGAAAGACUCCACUCCCUCUGGCCCAGCCAAACCACAGAGAGGACCUGCCGCUGCCACCGCCGAGGCUGCCCUCUCCCUCCUGCCAACCUGGUGGGGGGAAGGGGAGAGGAGGAGCAGCCAGCCCCCGGCCUGGGCAGAGGACGCCACAGCAGCAGCCGUUCCCUUCCCACACACUGCCGGGGGGCUACGGGGAUGGGGCAUGAAAACCUUCCCUGCCCCAGACGUGACUCCCACCCCAUGGCGGCUGGGGGAUGGUAGCUCAGGCUGGGCAUCCACCCUGCCCCAGGAGGCCUGGCCCCAGCUGCCACCCACUUCCUAACCAGCCUCCCAUCUUUCUCUGGAGCUGUUUACUGGGGCCAGUGGCCCCCUGCCCCAUUCCCAGAACGGGGGACAGGCAGCAGGCUCUCCUCUCUAGACUGGCAGGGUGGGGACAGACAGUGGGUGCUCCUGGCAGCUGUCGGGUGCUAACCCAGCCACCCCACCUGGCAGGGAUAUGUCCUGACCAACGAGAGGUGGUCUCCUGCCACGCAUGCACCCAUCUGUUCCCUGUCCCGCGGCCACCACUGGCCUGAGGAUGUGUCACCCCCGAGAGCACCAGGCUCACCCCCGGAUCCCACGCCCGAGGGGGAUGGGAACCAGAGGGGAGGAGGUCACUUGUGUAUCGGGGAGGUAUGGGGGGGAUGAGAAUUAUCAGGGGAAGGGGGUGAAUUAAGCACCGGGAGCACAAAGGAGGAGGUGAGGAUGAGGUGCUGGGAGGGGGCUGGAUUGAGUGCUUGGGAGGUAGGGUUGCCACUCAUCUGGUUUUCACCCAGACCGUCUGGGUUUUGGCUUGUGUGUCUGGGUGCCAUUUAACAAGCCCUGAUGUCCAUUUUUUUUAAUGGAGGGAAAGAGGAAGAGGCGGAGCAGGGAUGUGGGGCCUCAAGGAAAGAGGCGGUGAAUGGGGCGGGGCCUUGGGGAAGAGGCAGUGAAUGGGAUGGGGCCUUGGGGGAAGAGGUGGAGAAGGGGCGGGGCCUUGAGGAAGAGGCGGUGAAUGGGGCGGGGCCUUGGGGAAGAGGCAGAGAAGAGGCGGGGCCUGGAGGAAACAGAGCAAGGGAUGGGGCUUCAGGGCUCUGGUUACCAGCCAUUCGAAAGGCAGCCAACCUAUCUGGGGGGCUGGCAGAGGUGGGGACCUGUGUUUGGGGAACUGGGUGGGGAUGGCUGAUGGG